GGAAGGCACGGCUAACUCCGUGCCAGCAGCCGCGGUAAUACGGAGGUGGCAAGCGUUGUUCGGAAUCACUGGGCUUAAAGAGCACGUAGGCGCCCGGUCAAGUGUUUUGUGAAAUCCCUCGGCUCAACCGAGGAAUUGCAGGGCAAACUGAUCGGCUUGGGGCAUACAGGGGCGACUGGAACUCUAGGUGGAGCGGUGAAAUGCGUAGAUAUCUAGAGGAACGCCGGUGGCGAAAGCGGGUCGCUGGGUAUGUCCUGACGCUGAGGUGCGAAAGCGUAGGGAGCGAACGGGAUUAGAUACCCCGGUAGUCUACGCUGUAAACGAUGUCCACUAGGUCGAGGGGGUUCUGACGCUUUCUCGGCCGAAGCAAAAGUACUAAGUGGACCGCCUGGGGAGUACGGUCGCAAGGCUAAAACUCAAAGGAAUUGACGGGGGCUCACACAAGCGGUGGAGCAUGUUGCUCAAUUCGAGGCAACGCGAAGAACCUUAUCCUGGGUUUGACAUGCAUGGAUGGCCUCCCUGAAAGGGGUUGUGUCUGCCUUCGGGUGAAACGUGCACAGGUGCUGCAUGGCUGUCGUCAGCUCGUGCUGUGAAGUGUUGGGUUAAGUCCCGUAACGAGCGAAACCCUUGUCCUUAGUUGCCAGCGGGUCAUGCCGGGGACUCUAAGGAGACUGCCGGUGUUAAACCGGAGGAAGGUGGGGAUGACGUCAAGUCCUCAUGGCCUUUAUGCCCAGGGCUGCAAACGUGCUACAAUGGCGGGUACAAUGCGACGCGAUACCGCGAGGUGGAGCAAAUCGCCAAAAGCUCGCCCCAGUUCGGAUUGCAGUCUGAAACUCGACUGCAUGAAGUCGGAAUCGCUAGUAAUCGGAGAUCAGCUACGCUCCGGUGAAUAUGUUCCUGAGCCUUGUACACACCGCCCGUCAAGUCAUGGAAGCUGGGAGCACUCGAAGUCGGUCUGCUAACCCUUCGGGGAGGCGACUGCCG
RNAcentral lists this ribosomal RNA (984 nucleotides) under uncultured Planctomycetota bacterium. RNAcentral describes it as "bacterial SSU rRNA". It matches the Rfam family "Bacterial small subunit ribosomal RNA", at positions 486 to 1458 of the family's 1533-position model. The record is from RNAcentral. Lineage: Bacteria; Pseudomonadati; Planctomycetota.